CAGAAAUUCGCUCAGGUCUGGAAUGACACGAGGAAUGAAGAAAGUUACACAAGUUUGUAGGACAUAAAAGCAGGAGAGUGCAGUGGUCCAGCCCUGUGGAUGCUAAACGGCCGGGGAGGUUAAACGCAGCGCUGGAACUGAAGACGGCCGCAAAUAAACAAGUCCUUGGAGAAGGUUUUUAAGUCAUGAUGCAAGAGUCGGGGACAGAGGCGACAAACGGAACGGCCAAUCAGAACAGCGCCGCACCUAGUGUGGAGGGACACAGAGAAGUUCGAUCCAAGAGCGCCACUCUUUCCUCUGACAUCACAGUGUCUGACCUCAUCAACUUCCAGCAGCAGCAGGCCUUACAAGUUGCACGACAGAUCCUUCUCCAACAGCAACAGCAAAGCAGUGCCCACAAGUCCCCAAAAAACAAUGACAAGCAACCUGCACC
Sinocyclocheilus rhinocerous is the source of this 433-nucleotide long non-coding RNA. RefSeq lists it as uncharacterized. The record is from RefSeq and is a predicted model, not a curated record. NCBI's taxonomy places the organism in Eukaryota, Metazoa, Chordata, Actinopteri, Cypriniformes, Cyprinidae. The transcript is spliced from 6 exons.